This 92-nucleotide small RNA is filed under the name Salmonella enterica subsp. enterica serovar Gallinarum. Its description in RNAcentral is "partial RtT sRNA". It matches the Rfam family "RtT RNA", at positions 37 to 130 of the family's 130-position model. Rfam says of the family: This family represents a bacterial cis-regulatory element known as RtT RNA. The exact function of RtT is unknown although it is thought that it may be involved in changing the cellular response in relation to amino acid starvation. RNAcentral also lists the same sequence under 6 other names. Lineage: Bacteria; Pseudomonadati; Pseudomonadota; Gammaproteobacteria; Enterobacterales; Enterobacteriaceae. The record is from RNAcentral.
GCAGGUCCGGGUCUCACGUAGUGAGACAACGGAGCCGCUUGCGGCGACGGCCCGAAGGGCGAGCAAAGCGAGUCAUCCUGCACGACCCACCA